This is a small nuclear RNA of Piliocolobus tephrosceles (Ugandan red Colobus), 62 nucleotides long. Its record names the gene U7. It matches the Rfam family "U7 small nuclear RNA". Rfam says of the family: Animal histone pre-mRNAs are spliced by a different mechanism than nuclear pre-mRNAs and self-splicing introns. This processing involves the U7 snRNP, which contains only one RNA species: U7. The 5' end of U7 RNA is thought to base-pair to a conserved spacer element downstream of the cleavage site in histone pre-mRNA. Lineage: Eukaryota; Metazoa; Chordata; Mammalia; Primates; Cercopithecidae. The record is from Ensembl.
UAGUGCUACAGCUUUUUUGGAAGUUGUCUAGCAGGCUUUCUGGGUUUUGCUGGAAGGCCCUU